UUACGGCCGUAUCACGUUGAAACACCGGUUCACGUACGACCACCGAAGUUAAGCAACGUCGAGACUGGUCGGUAACUAGAUGUGUGACCGUUUGUGAAUAGCAG
This is a non-coding RNA of Acanthosepion pharaonis, 104 nucleotides long. Lineage: Eukaryota; Metazoa; Mollusca; Cephalopoda; Sepiida; Sepiidae. The record is from the annotation of a GenBank genome assembly.